This 1464-nucleotide ribosomal RNA is filed under the name uncultured Bordetella sp. Its description in RNAcentral is "partial 16S-23S ribosomal RNA intergenic spacer". It matches the Rfam family "Bacterial small subunit ribosomal RNA". Lineage: Bacteria; Pseudomonadati; Pseudomonadota; Betaproteobacteria; Burkholderiales; Alcaligenaceae. The record is from RNAcentral.
UUGAUCUGGCUCAGAUUGAACGCUGGCGGGAUGCUUUACAUGCAAGUCGAACGGCAGCACCCGGACUCCCGGUCUGGUGGCGAGUGGCGAACGGGUGAGUAAUGUAUCGGAACGUGCCCUAAUGUGAGGGGAUAACUGCGCGAAAGCGUAGCUAAUACCGCACAUGCACGCCCCUUCGGGAGAAAGCAGAGGACCUUCGGGCCUCGCACUAUUAGAGCGGCCGAUAUCGGAUUAGCUAGUUGGUGGGGUAACGGCUCGCAAGGCGGCGAUCCGUAGCUGGUUUGAGAGGACGACCAGCCACACUGGGACUGAAGCCUGGCCGGGCUCCUGCGGGAAGGCAGCAGUGAAAUUUUGGACAAUGGGGGAAACCCUGGUCCAGCCAUCCCGCGUGUGCGAUAGGGCCUUCGGGUUGUAAAACCUUUUUGGCAGGAAAGAAACGGCGCAGGAUAAUACCCCGUGCGGCUGACUUGCACCUGCAGAAUAGCGCAAGCUAACUACGUUGCCAGCAGCCGCGGUAAUGCGUAGGGUGCAAGCGUUAAUCGGAAUUACUGGGCGUAAAGCGUGCGCAGGCGGUUCGGAAAGAAAGAUGUGAAAUCCCAGAGCUUAACUUUGGAACUGCAUUUUUCUUCGACUGAAGUGUGUCAGAGGGAGGUGGAAUUCCACGCGUGUAGCAGUGAAAUGCAUGCAGAUAUGGAGACACCGAUGGCGAGCAGCCUCCUGGGAUAACACUGACGCUCAUGCACGAAAGCGUGGGGAGCAAGCAGGAUUAGAUACCCCCUGGUAGUCCACGCCCUAAACGAUGUCAACUAGCUGUUGGGGCCUUCGGGCCUUGGUAGCGCAGCCUAACGCGUGAAGUUGACCGCCUGGGAAGUACGGUCGCAAGAUUAAACUCAAAGGAAUUGACGGGGACCCGCACAAGCGGUGGAUGAUGUGGAUUAAUUCGAUGCAACGCGAAAACCUACCCUUGACAUGUCUGGAAUCCCGAAGAGAUUUGGGAGUGCUCGCAAGAGAACCGGAACACAGGUGCUUUCAUGGCUGUCGUCAGCUCGUGUCGUGAGAUGUUGGGUUAAGUCCGCAACGAGCGCAACCCUUGUCAUUAGUUGCUACGAAAGGGCACUCUAAUGAGACUGCCGGUGACAAACCGGAGGAAGGUGGGGAUGACGUCAAGUCCUCAUGGCCCUUAUGGGUAGGGCUUCACACGUCAUACAAUGGUCAGAGGGUCGCCAACCCGCGAGGAGCCAAUCAGACCCGAUCGUAGUCCGGAUCGCAGUCUGCAGCUCGACUGCGUGAAGUCAGAAUCGCUAGUAAUCGCGGAUCAGCAUGUCGCGGUGAAUACGUUCCCGGGUCUUCUGCACCACCGCCCGUCACACCAUGGGAGUGGGUUUUACCAGAAGUAGUUAGCCCCUAACCGUAAGGAGGUAUUCCCGGUAGGAUUCAUGACUGGGGUGAAGUCGUAACAAGGUA